CAGUCGACGGGGUAUCAGGGUAGUAAUACCCGAAGUACCUAGUGGCGAACGGGUGCGUAACACGUGAGCAACCUACCCCAGAGCUUGGAAUAACACCGGGAAACCGGUGCUAAUACCGAAUACUCUCAUUCGGCCGCAUGACUGAAUGAGGAAAGAUUUAUCACUCUGGGACGGGCUCGCGGCCUAUCAGCUUGUUGGUGAGGUAACGGCUCACCAAGGCUACGACGGGUAGCUGGUCUGAGAGGACGAUCAGCCACACUGGGACUGAGACACGGCCCAGACUCCUACGGGAGGCAGCAGUGGGGAAUAUUGCGCAAUGGGCGAAAGCCUGACGCAGCAACGCCGCGUGGAGGAUGAAGGCUUUCGGGUUGUAAACUCCUUUCAGCAGGGACGAAACUGACGGUACCUGCAGAAGAAGCCCCGGCUAACUCCGUGCCAGCAGCCGCGGUAAUACGGGGGGUGCAAGCGUUAAUCGGAAUCACUGGGCGUAAAGGGUGCGUAGGCGGUACGUUAGGUCUGUCGUGAAAUCCCCGGGCUCAACCUGGG
RNAcentral lists this ribosomal RNA (546 nucleotides) under uncultured bacterium. RNAcentral describes it as "bacterial SSU rRNA". It matches the Rfam family "Bacterial small subunit ribosomal RNA", at positions 59 to 618 of the family's 1533-position model. The record is from RNAcentral.